RNAcentral lists this ribosomal RNA (850 nucleotides) under uncultured bacterium. Its description in RNAcentral is "bacterial SSU rRNA". It matches the Rfam family "Bacterial small subunit ribosomal RNA", at positions 649 to 1505 of the family's 1533-position model. The record is from RNAcentral.
GGCGAGAAGUAUGCGGAAUGUGUGGUGUAGCGGUGAAAUGCAUAGAUAUCACGCAGAACCCCGAUUGCGAAGGCAGCAUACCGGCGCCCGACUGACGCUGAGGCACGAAAGUGCGGGGAUCAAACAGGAUUAGAUACCCUGGUAGUCCGCACAGUAAACGAUGAAUGCUAGCUGUCCGGGGGGAUUGACCCCUGGGUGGCACAGCGAAAGCGUUAAGCAUUCCACCUGGGGAGUACGCCGGCAACGGUGAAACUCAAAGGAAUUGACGGGGGCCCGCACAAGCGGAGGAACAUGUGGUUUAAUUCGAUGAUACGCGAGGAACCUUACCCGGGCUCAAACGCCGAAGGGACAUUCCCCGAAAGGGGAUUGGCCAGCAAUGGUCUUCGGCGAGGUGCUGCAUGGUUGUCGUCAGCUCGUGCCGUGAGGUGUCGGCUUAAGUGCCAUAACGAGCGCAACCCCCACCGACAGUUGCUAACUGGUCAAGCAGAGGACUCUGUCGGGACUGCCGGCGCAAGCUGCGAGGAAGGCGGGGAUGACGUCAAAUCAGCACGGCCCUUACGUCCGGGGCGACACACGUGUUACAAUGGCAGGUACAGCGGGAUGCCAUGGGGCGACCCAGAGCGGAACCCGAAAACCUGUCUCAGUUCGGAUUGGAGUCUGCAACCCGACUCCAUGAAGCUGGAUUCGCUAGUAAUCGCGCAUCAGCCACGGCGCGGUGAAUACGUUCCCGGGCCUUGUACACACCGCCCGUCAAGCCAUGGGAGCCGGGGGUGCCUGAAGGCCGUGACCGCGAGGAGCGGCCUAGGGUAAAACUGGUGACUGGGGCUAAGUCGUAACAAGGUAACCGUAA